AAUACAUUUUAAAACAAUUAAUAAUAAAAAAUAAAAUGGCAUAUUUGCAAUAAAUGUAUUGUCAAAAUUAAUUGCAGUGCAAAUUGCUAUUCAUCAAAUGACUUUUUCAAACCUUGUAAAACCAUUAACCUGCACACCUAAAUUUCCGUGGAUUUUUCAGUUCAUAUUUGACAUAAGCAAAACUUCUACAUGCCUGAGACCCACCAUUUGAUAAUGUUUUUUUUAAUACUGGUUGAAUCAUGCUUAAUGUAACUGUAUUGGUGAAAUUGUGUAUGAACUCUGGUUAUACUGAAAUUAAUUUUUCCUUAGGCAAUAUGACAAAAUCCAUGAGAAGCGGGAGGAAGUCGUGAAACUUAUAGAAGAAAAAAAUCACGAAACUAAACAGUUCAACGAAAAGAUGCACAUGCUGAAAGACAAGUGCAGCCAGCGGACACAAAAAGCCCAGGAGAUCUAUGACCGUCUGUGUUGUUCUUUGGAGCUGUACAACAGCCAUAUUGAAACCGUUGUUCUGAAGACCAAUCGUGAUAUUUCAACAAUGAAAUCCCAUUUCUAGAUUGUUGCGUGUGUGUAUGUGUGUGUGUGUAUAAAUAUAUAAUAAAAUAACUAGCAACAAA
Non-coding RNA from Misgurnus anguillicaudatus (oriental weatherfish), 614 nucleotides. NCBI's taxonomy places the organism in Eukaryota, Metazoa, Chordata, Actinopteri, Cypriniformes, Cobitidae. The record is from RefSeq and is a predicted model, not a curated record.